Molecule: ribosomal RNA, 1512 nt
Filed under: Clostridium botulinum B1 str. Okra
Lineage: Bacteria; Bacillati; Bacillota; Clostridia; Eubacteriales; Clostridiaceae
Description: 16S ribosomal RNA
Rfam family: Bacterial small subunit ribosomal RNA
Source: RNAcentral
UAAAUUUAGAGUUUGAUCCUGGCUCAGGACGAACGCUGGCGGCGUGCUUAACACAUGCAAGUCGAGCGAUGAAGCUUCCUUCGGGAAGUGGAUUAGCGGCGGACGGGUGAGUAACACGUGGGUAACCUGCCUCAAAGUGGGGGAUAGCCUUCCGAAAGGAAGAUUAAUACCGCAUAAUAUAAGAGAAUCGCAUGAUUUUCUCAUCAAAGAUUUAUUGCUUUGAGAUGGACCCGCGGCGCAUUAGCUAGUUGGUAAGGUAACGGCUUACCAAGGCAACGAUGCGUAGCCGACCUGAGAGGGUGAUCGGCCACAUUGGAACUGAGACACGGUCCAGACUCCUACGGGAGGCAGCAGUGGGGAAUAUUGCGCAAUGGGGGAAACCCUGACGCAGCAACGCCGCGUGGGUGAUGAAGGUCUUCGGAUUGUAAAGCCCUGUUUUCUAGGACGAUAAUGACGGUACUAGAGGAGGAAGCCACGGCUAACUACGUGCCAGCAGCCGCGGUAAUACGUAGGUGGCGAGCGUUGUCCGGAUUUACUGGGCGUAAAGGGUGCGUAGGCGGAUGUUUAAGUGGGAUGUGAAAUCCCCGGGCUUAACCUGGGGGCUGCAUUCCAAACUGGAUAUCUAGAGUGCAGGAGAGGAAAGCGGAAUUCCUAGUGUAGCGGUGAAAUGCGUAGAGAUUAGGAAGAACACCAGUGGCGAAGGCGGCUUUCUGGACUGUAACUGACGCUGAGGCACGAAAGCGUGGGUAGCAAACAGGAUUAGAUACCCUGGUAGUCCACGCCGUAAACGAUGGAUACUAGGUGUAGGGGGUAUCAACUCCCCCUGUGCCGCAGUUAACACAAUAAGUAUCCCGCCUGGGGAGUACGGUCGCAAGAUUAAAACUCAAAGGAAUUGACGGGGGCCCGCACAAGCAGCGGAGCAUGUGGUUUAAUUCGAAGCAACGCGAAGAACCUUACCUGGACUUGACAUCCCUUGCAUAGCCUAGAGAUAGGUGAAGCCCUUCGGGGCAAGGAGACAGGUGGUGCAUGGUUGUCGUCAGCUCGUGUCGUGAGAUGUUAGGUUAAGUCCUGCAACGAGCGCAACCCUUGUUAUUAGUUGCUACCAUUAAGUUGAGCACUCUAAUGAGACUGCCUGGGUAACCAGGAGGAAGGUGGGGAUGACGUCAAAUCAUCAUGCCCCUUAUGUCCAGGGCUACACACGUGCUACAAUGGUAGGUACAAUAAGACGCAAGACCGUGAGGUGGAGCAAAACUUAUAAAACCUAUCUCAGUUCGGAUUGUAGGCUGCAACUCGCCUACAUGAAGCUGGAGUUGCUAGUAAUCGCGAAUCAGAAUGUCGCGGUGAAUACGUUCCCGGGCCUUGUACACACCGCCCGUCACACCAUGAGAGCUGGUAACACCCGAAGUCCGUGAGGUAACCGUAAGGAACCAGCGGCCGAAGGUGGGAUUAGUGAUUGGGGUGAAGUCGUAACAAGGUAGCCGUAGGAGAACCUGCGGCUGGAUCACCUCCUUU